This 918-nucleotide ribosomal RNA is filed under the name Acanthocystis costata. RNAcentral's name for it is "partial 18S ribosomal RNA". It matches the Rfam family "Eukaryotic small subunit ribosomal RNA", at positions 1026 to 1594 of the family's 1831-position model. Lineage: Eukaryota; Centroplasthelida; Acanthocystida; Acanthocystidae. The record is from RNAcentral.
CUAACUAUAAACGAUGCCGACUAGGGAUCGGUGGGCGUUAAUAUAAAAUUGUCUUGGGUUAUUUUUUUACUUUUAUUUUUUUAAAAUAAAAGUUCUAAAAUGUCUUUGACAAGAAAUGACCCCAUCGGCACCUCAAUUUGAUACUUCUCAAUGGGAAACCAAAGUUUUUGGGUUCCGGGGGGAGUAUGGUCGCAAGGCUGAAACUUAAAGGAAUUGACGGAAGGGCACCACCAGGAGUGGAGUUUGCGGCUUAAUUUGACUCAACACGGGAAAACUCACCAGGCCCAGACAUGGUAAGGAUUGACAGAUUGAGAGCUCUUUCUUGAUUCCAUGAAAGGUGGCGCAUGGCCGUUCUUAGUUGGUGGAGUGAUUUGUCUGGUUAAUUCCGUUAACGAACGAGACCUUGGCCUGCUAACUAGGGGGGGUUAUCGUUUGGAUGAGUUAGCAGAGUUGGUUUUGCUUUUUUAUCUUCGGAUAGAAGGGUUAAAAUCAACUGUUGUUACUUGUUCAUAUUUUGCGAUAGCACCUAAGAUUUAAAAAAUCUUUCAACCCUUUUUUGGUCUUAAGGGAAGAGGGAAGUUUUCUUUUUGGGAUUUAUUUUCCAAUUGUGGAGGCUUCUCAUCAAAAUCUUUCUUUUUGAUUGAAGAAGGAAAAAUCCUUCUUAGAGGGACUAUCUGCGUUUUUACAACUAGCAGAUGGAAGCUCGAGGCAAUAACAGGUCUGUGAUGCCCUUAGAUGUCCUGGGCUGCACGCGUACUACACUGACGAAUUCAACAAGUGAUUUAAAUUUGAUUGAGCUACUUACUUUGUUUUCCUUCGGGAGGAUGAGGAGAGAGGGCUUUUUCAAAAACCUUGGCAGAAAUGUCUGGGUAAUCUCCUUAAAGUUCGUCGUGCUAGGGAUAGAUGAUUGUAAUUAUU